Long non-coding RNA from Magnolia sinica, 1441 nucleotides. RefSeq lists it as uncharacterized. The record is from RefSeq and is a predicted model, not a curated record. NCBI's taxonomy places the organism in Eukaryota, Viridiplantae, Streptophyta, Magnoliopsida, Magnoliales, Magnoliaceae. The transcript is spliced from 3 exons.
CUUCCUGUUUAAGUUUUCUUACUCAUCAAUUGAUGGUAGCAUUCUCUUCCACUACAUUGGCAAUGUUGAUGCCAUUGUUCAGAAAGUAAUAUUUCUCAUCCAUUGUCAUGUACAUUUGAGCAAACCAAUUUUCAUCUAAUUUCAAGGAAUUCAGUUUUUUUUUUUUUCCAAAGAAUUUUACAGUUAUUCUCUUCCACUACAGUGGCAAUGUGGAUGGAUGGCAUGAUCUCCACUGGAGUAAAUAAGGCAUUACAUAUAGUUGCUAGUAUAUUAUUUAAAUGGAUUUUAAAUAAUAAUCAUGGUGAACCCUGCAAAUUUAAGGGUGCCCGUCUCUCUCCCAGCAGUUUCCUUCAUUGUGGCCCACUUGAAUAAUAGGUGUCCAUGAUGGGCUUUUCAAAUUGGGUUGGUGUUUUCCAAUGCUAGGCCAACCAGCACUUGGGUCUGAACCCAAGUUGUAGCCCUAGACCAAGCAUGCACCUGGGCCCAACACUUCUUCUUUACUUUGUAAUGGGUGCCACCGCUAGCUAACUAUCAUAGUAAUAAAAAAUCUGCAUAUUUGCAAAUUGCUUUGAAACUGAAAUUCACUCUUUUGGGUCUGUGUAUCUUCUUUCAAUAUGAUUUAGUCCACUCGAUCUAUUUAAUGAUAUAGAUAUACCAAUGCAGAGAAAAUCUUCUUUUCUUUUUUGGUGAAUUGAAAUUCAUUACAUGCCCACUUUAUCAGUUAUAAUAUCUGGACCGCAACAUUUCAGGAUGCAGGGGGAACUUGGUGCAAAUGCUAUAUUAGUUGUGUCAAUUGCUGCUUGUAAAGCUGGUGCUGCUGAAAAGGGGGCAAGUUUUUUUUUAUAUGGUAAUUGCCAAGCUGACCUGUUUUUAAAGCCAUGCCCCAGGAGAUUUUUUCCUGUGUUUCAAUUUUCAUUUGCUUCAAUGUUUCUAGUACUUUUUAUACUAUUGCUCUUCAAAAAUUUUACUACUUUAUUUAUUUAUUUAUUUUUUAAUGAAAUACAACUAGGAGCAAUUUCUGGCCCCUAAGCAGAAUCCUCUCCCCAAAGUUAGAGCCAAACUUAAUGGAAAAGGAAGAAGAGGAUGAAGCGAGAGCCACCCUAAGAUACCAUGUGCAUCCCCUGUUUUGGGGAACUGCAAAAGCCUACCAACUGUGAUAUGCCAAAAUGACAAUUUGAAUGCUAUUUGAAAUGCUUAUAGAUUCCUACCAACUGUCCAUGUUCCGCAUCGAAGUCAUUCUCUUACUAUUAUGAUUAUCAAAUUCUUUUUUUCUUUUUUUACAAACAUCAUGUCAGACUUCUUUUUUACUCUAUUCCAAUUUUCUAGCUGAGGAAAUGUGCAUUUUCUAGUUGAGGGAAUGUCCACGGACACCUGGUAAAGUGCUCAACUCAUUAACUGAUUACUCCAGUAGAUUAUAAAUGUAUAAAUUUCACUAUAUAGU